This is a long non-coding RNA of Sapajus apella (tufted capuchin), 167 nucleotides long. RefSeq lists it as uncharacterized. The transcript is spliced from 3 exons. The record is from RefSeq and is a predicted model, not a curated record. Lineage: Eukaryota; Metazoa; Chordata; Mammalia; Primates; Cebidae.
ACGACCUUGGAAAGCGGGAGGGGGCAGGAGAAGGUGGGGAGGAGGGAGAGGACGGCGUGGUAGAGAAAACAGUGGAAGAAAACGCGGAGGCGAGGGCGGGACAGGAUGCAGUGGGGAGAAGGCCGGGCGCUGUGGCUAAAACCUGUAAUCCUAGCACUUUGAAAGGC